Molecule: non-coding RNA, 77 nt
Organism: Podarcis lilfordi (Lilford's wall lizard)
Lineage: Eukaryota; Metazoa; Chordata; Lepidosauria; Squamata; Lacertidae
Source: the annotation of a GenBank genome assembly
GUGGAAGGGCCAUGGCUCGGUGGUCGAGCAUCCGCUUUGCAUGCAAGAGGUCCCAGGUUCAAUCCCCAGCUUCCCCA